Molecule: long non-coding RNA, 7071 nt
Filed under: Sus scrofa (pig)
Lineage: Eukaryota; Metazoa; Chordata; Mammalia; Artiodactyla; Suidae
Description: lncRNA (ENSSSCG00055017609.1)
Source: RNAcentral
UGACAAUCUUCCAUGCCAUUGGUCCUGAAAUUCUACAUGUAAUAUCAUGCACUUUUGUUCAAGGCUCGAACCACCUAGAAUUUAAGCUUAAGGCAAUUGGAUCAUUUACUUACUCAGUGCUCCCAAAAUAAAGAAGAUAGCGGUUUGGGGUAGGGCAACAUGUGAGAUCUCCCAAGUUUUGGUAGAGUGUGAGAACAGGAAGGAAGGUGGGAGUGUUAGGCAUUUAAACAGAAAUCUGUUAAUACUAAAAGCAAAUUAAGUGCGUGAAAUAUAGGCUAAAGUCAGGACUGCUCCUAACCUCACAUCUUAUACUUCUCAUUGGAGUUUUUACACCUGUUCCUAAAACUUAAGUAUUUGAUUUCUUCUUACGGUUUGUGAAAUCUGAAACAUCUCCUGAACCAAACUUCAGUCUAUUCUAACAACUACUUAAAUAUUUAGCAGCAUUGUAUAAACACACACUAGUGUAGCACCAAUCUAACAAAGAAUGUGGAUAUCCAGAAUCAUGACAAGGUUAAUGCAAAAUAUGACUGGGAAAUAUGAGUUAGAGAAAAUAGGACUGGAUCAGAAAGACAAAAAAAUAGCAGAUAUUAUGAACUGGACUCUUUAAUAUUUAGGGGUUUUAUUUAUCUCUUGUUGUUAUUAUUUUUACUAACAAAACUCCCCAAUGUUUAGCUGUGCACCUGGUACAAAAAUAAAGAAUAUAUUUCCCACCUUCCUUGGCAACUAGGUGUUGUCAUGUGACCAAAUUCUGACAAUGAAAUGUAACUAUAAAUGUUGUGUUAUAGCUCCUUAAAAAUGACCUCAAUGGAUAACUAAUGUGUGUUCUUUGCAUCCUUUUUUCAUUAUGCUUUCUUCCAUCUGCUGGCUGGAAUGCAGAUGUGCUGGUUGGAGUCUGAUAAUGUAUAUCACAUGGUAAUUAUAUCAGAGCAACAAGUUGAAACUGACUUAAAUCUGACAUCUCUGUGACGCCAUAGAGCAUCUCUGAAUCAUCUAUUUCAAAACACUUUUCUAUGUGAUAAAAAUAAACUUUCAUCUCAAAGAUAAGUGAUUGCUUUUAGGGAGGAGGGAACAGAAUCGAAUAGAUGAAAUCAGAGAAACCAUAGGGUAGUGAAAAUAAUAGAAUGCAUAACACCAAGCAUGAAACUUAAUGUAAAUUAUGGACUUGGGUGAUAAUGAUAUUUUAAUGUAGGUUCAUUAAUUGUAACAAAUGUACUACUCUGGUGAUAGAUGUUGAUAAUAUGGGAGGUUAUGUGUGUGGGGACAAGGAAACAGUUCUAUCACCCUCUUAAUUCAUCUGUGAACCUAAAAUUGCUCUUAAAGGAAUUCCCGUUGUGGCUUAAUGGGUUAAGAACCCAACUAGUAUCCAUGAGGAUGUGGGUUCCAUCCCUGGCCUCCCUUAAUGGGUUAAGGACCCAGCAUUGCUACAAGCUGCAGGGUCCAUCACAAAUGUGGCUCAGAUCUGGUGUUGCUCUCGCUGUGGCUGUGGUGUAGGCCUGCAGCUUCAGGUCCAAUUUGACUCCUAGCCUGGAAACUUCCAUAUGCCACAGGUGCAGCCCUGAAAACACACACACAGAAGAAAAGUCUUCAAAAAUAAAGUGAUGAAAUAGACAUGUUGUCUGAAGAGUAACGAAGUUUUAAAAACCACUUCUCAGUUUCUGGUUUGUUUCUUGACAGAUGAUGGUAUCAACUAUUGAGAGAGAGAACACUAAAAUAAGACCAGUUUUAGGUGUAAUAUUAGAAGUUUUGAACAGGUUGACUUAGAUAGGGCUUUGAGACUUUUGUAAAGUAUAUAAAAUGGGUAAUUGGAUUUAUUGAUCUGGAAUGAAGAGAACAGAAUUGCACAGGAGAUAGGAAUGUAGGAGUCACCAAAUGGCAUGCAAGGAGGAACUGAAGACAGGGAUUGAAGCCUAAAAGAUAAGCUUGCACACGUCCUGACAAUGCUUUCCUAUGACUCUCAAGCUAUUUCACCUGCAUGUCUUCCCUUUAAACAUCAUUGUCAGCACAACUUCUAUUUCCCCAAAGUGUCUUGCACCAUGCAUUGCCUUAUGCCUACUGUCAGUUUCAAUGAAAUCUUGCCAGAUAUGUGUCCUUGAAAGAAUCCUUUUCUAUACAACUUUACUCACCAGACCUCACCAAUCGAAAAACCAUCCUUUUCUUCUUAUCAUUCAGUAAUUUUUCUUCCUGCUUUCUUCUUGUUUUCUUUUUUUAAUUAAAAUAUAGUUGAUUGGAGUUCCCGUCGUGGUGCAGUGGUUAACGAAUCCGACUAGGAACCAUGAGGUUGCGGGUUCGGUCCCUGCCCUUGCCAGGGGUCGAAUCGGAGCUGUAGCCUCUGGCCAACGCAAUAGAACCUGCAAUCUCGUGGUUCCUAGUAGGAUUCAUUAACCACUGAGCCACAAUGGGAACUCCCAUGGUCGCAUUUAAUCUUGAAAAUAUCUCCAUGAAGUAACACCGUGCUUAUUUUACAGGUGUGAAAACAAAGCAAGAGUCACACAGAGAGUAAAUGGCAAACCUAAGACCAGGACUAUGUCUCCCUAAUAUCAGGGCCAUGGCAAUGACCAUUCCACUCACUGCCUCCUCAAUUCCAUGGAAAGAUCUGAUUAAGACAAGCAGAAAUGUGUCCUGCAAACCCUAGUGAAACAGGGCUAAAUGUGGAUGAGUUAUGGUGUCAGUGAGGGAAAAAAAAAAAGGAACAAUGAGUAGAGGGGGAGCUAGUGUUCUAGGUUCUGUAAAAGAAAUAUUUUACUGAUAUUCUCAACUACACAGGAGACUCAGUACAAACCUAACCUGUCCAGGUUGUUAAGGAAUUCAGCUCCAGUUGCUUAGCUUUCAGAACUCAAUACUAGGGAGAGGUAAAUGUUGAUAGAAAGGAAAGUUGUUUUUAAGCAGAAUGCCUGCAAUCUGGAGAGAUGGUGGACUCGGUGUCUGUAAAAACCAACUAUGAGGAUUCUGCUCAGUCAUGAUAGUUUUAAAGGGAAAAAGGAAGUAAUCUCAGUUAGUCACUGAGAUGGGAGUUCAGAGUUGUCUCCAUCCCCCACUGUGCGCAAGCUUGGAGACUCCCAUGAUCUUUCUCUAGACGUCAUCUUGUUCACAGUUUGUUCAUGAGAUGACUAAAGGGGAGGCUUGGGAAGAUAAUCUAGUUAUCUGUUAAUUACUUACAUUUUAUUUCAACUUCUUUAAUCCAUGAAAAGAACCAACAGGUUAGGGAAGGUAUUGUGUGAUCAGAAAAUCUGAAAGGUGUGCUUGGGCCAGAGAUAGUAGAGCAUGAGGUUGCCUGGUUUAAAAAUUAGUUAAAAUAUAGUUUUGCUUAAGUGAUGAAAAAAGAGGCUACCUGCUGAGGGAAGUUUCCUGCAAAGAGCUGCUUACACAGGGUCUCAUUCAAAGGAGAAUUAUGCCUUCAAGUGUUUGAAAGAACUUAAGCCCAUCAGCUGCUCUGCAAAGGCAGCAAGGUUCCAGUGCACAAAAUCACAGCCCAUGAAAUAGGUACAAUGGGAAGGCAUGUCAGCAAGCAUCUAGUCCAACCCAUUCCUUUCAUAGAUUUUCAGACUGAGGCCCCCAAAGGGAAGGUAACUGGCCUAAUGUCAUACAAUUGCUAGUGGCAAGUGACAGAAUGAGUGGCAAUUUCCAGGACACUAUGAACCAUGACAAAGUGGCUGGAGUAUGGAGUCUGGAUGCAGACUGAGCAGGAGGAGAAACACCUGUGGAGCUGGUCUAACAACUGGUAGUCAGUGGAUCUUCUUUUUUUGACACUCUCUACAUCUCCAAGAAUGCAGAAAUAGAGUCCUUUCUAUUUUUUUUUUUUUUUCCUUUUUAUGGCUGCACCUGCAGCAUAUGGAAGAUCCCAGGCUAGGGGUCCAAUUGGAGCUGCAACUACCAGCCUACACCACAGCCAUAGCAACGUAGGAUCUGAGCCACUUCUGCAACCUACACCACAGCUCAUGGCAACACCAGAUCCUCAACCUACUGAGUGAGGCCAGGGAUUAAACCUACAUCCUCAUGGAUGUAGUUCUUAACCCACUGAGCCAGGACCAGAGUCAGAGAUCUAGCCUUUUCUAAUUGACACCUUAACUCAAGUUAGUUCACCAUCUUCCACCAAAGAUAAGUACCUCUGACACAGGGCUUUACAUUUUACAAAGUGUCUUCAUAACAAUGGUCAUGAUUGAUGUCUAAGAAAGGAGGAAAUUUAAGGAAGAGAAAUGGAUGGUCUGAAUCUAUGUCACCCAAUGUGGUCAUGCCCUUCCCUCUACCUGGAAAUGAUUCCCAACAACGAAAAGGAAUAUUAUCACAAGCUCUCUGGCUCUUCCUGAGAAGCACACUACUUUUUCCCUGAGGGCUUUUGCUAUAAGUAAAAAUUUUGUGCCACGCUGGCAGAGCAAAGUAUAAUGGAGACGUAUAGAUAUCCAGCAACCUAAAAUAUUUAUUAUCCAGAUCAUCACAGACAAAGUCUUGCAUGAACUUAAAACCUAUUCAUGGGUCAGAUAUUAUUUCAAAUUCUUUAUGAGCGAAACUCCCAAUUUCCCAAAUCAGGUUGAGAUGGGUUCUAUUGCACUUUCAUUAGAAAAGUUCUUCAGAACAGAAAAGUCUUGGAGUUCCUACUGUGGUACAGUGGGUUAAGAAUCAGACUGCAAUGUCUCAGGAUUGCUGGGGAGGUGCGGGUCUGAUCCCUGGCCCAGUAGAGUGGGUUAAAAAAUCUAGCAUUGCCACAUCUGAGGUAUAGUUUACAGCUACAGCUCAGAUUCAAUCCCUGGCCCAGGAACUUCCAUAUGCUGCAGAUGUGACCAUUAAAACACACACACACACACACACACACACACACAAAGACAAACAAAAAACCCAACAGAAAAGCAAAUAACAGAAAGGCCUUACUAUAUUUAUACAUUCAACAAUAUGAUCACACUCCAUUUUAGUCCAAGAAAUUUUUUAAGAAGAUUUUAAGAAAUAUUCAAAAGAACCCUGUGAGAUGAACAAUGCUGUCUCCAUGUUCCAUAUAAGCAAACAAAGGCUGUUUAAUGAUUAGGUAGCUUACCAAAGGUCACAGUGAAUAAGUGGAAAGUCAGAAUUUAAAUAGUUUGCACAGCAUUUUUCUGCUUUUUUCUCUUAUGAUGUAUCUUCAAAUCCCCAAGGUAAUGCAACAAAAUUUUUGGUCAGGAAGAAGGAUUCCCAUUUUACCAAAGAGAAAACAAAAGUACAGAAAGCCGAAACCUCUUGGUAAAGCCACAUAGUAAACUAGAGAGUCUGGGUUCAGAUUUAGGUUUUCUGAUUAAAUUCUGGAGCUCCUUCUGUGUUUUAUCAAAUGCCCCAAUGGCACCUUCAUAUCUAUUAAUUUUAACAAAUACUAUUUCUUUGGAAAUUAUUGCUAUAGAAACAGAGGUAGGUUGCUGAAAUCCUAUUAUCUUUUGCAUCUAAAUUAUGUACAUAUUGCUUAUGUUUGGGAUGGAGAUAAGCAGGAAGAUUUCUGCCAUGGGCAACAUAACAACUAUCCCAAUUGGAAUUCUCCAAUUUUGAGGUUUCUCUGGAGAUUUAAUCUUUACUCUGGGUCCAUAAAAACAUUCUGGCUGUUCAUACAAUACUUUCAAUGCCUUUGUAAUAAUAUUUCUCUUUCAUGUCCCUGCAAAUGGGAAUGUAUUGCUUAAAUAGACCAUUUUUAUUUAUUGUGACUCAUAUAUGGGGAAACACUGCCAAUUUGAAAGCAGCACACUAUUUCCUUGGAACCUCUCACUGAGGGGAUUACAUGGUGCAUCAGACUUGAUGGCAAAUGAAACAGAGAGAGGCUCACUGAUGCAGCAAAUCCCACUCUGGGAAGUGUGUUUCAUUGGAAGACUCCAAACAAGCCAUUAUUUUGUCAGUUGGAACAAAAGCCCUGAUUAAAAAUUAAAAUACAUUCUGUACUGAUAAAUACACCGCUGCCUAAUUACUUGCAAGAUUUAUAUUUUGUGGUGUUAAUUACCGCAUAAUGGUUAUUUUUUUUUUUUACUCCCUAUAAACCAGAACACAAUGAGCUUGACAGUGACAGCUUCAAUAAACAUUUGGUUGUCCCUUUUAUUAGCUAGAUCAGUUCCUGAUUACUAAUGUUUUUAAAUACUUUACUUCAUGGGAAGAGAACAAUGUCCCUUCCAUCAAAUGGCUUUCAAUGUAGGGCAAAGCAUAUAUUUAAAGACACCUUGGAGUUCCCAUCAUGGCUCAGCAGAAAUGGAUCUGACUAGCAUCCAUGAGGAUUCAGGUUCGAUCCCUGGCCUUGCUCAGUGGGUUAAGGAUUUGGCAUUGCCAUGAGCUGUGGUAUAGGUCACAGAUGCAACUAGGAUCUGGUGUUGCUGUGGCCAUGGUAUAGGCCAGCAACUGUAGCUCCAAUUUGACCCCCAGCCUGGGAACCAUGGGUGUGGCCCUAAAAAGCCAAAAAUAUUUUAAAAAGUUAAAGACACCUAAUGAUGGCUAAUUUUUCUGCCAACUGGAUCCUCAAAUUUGCCAUCACCUGAAUUUCUUCAACAUUCACAUACAAAUGCACACAACCAUAACACAAAGCAACAAAAGCACUAAAACAAGUAAAAUGAAGAAAAGCAAAAUAUAGUUUCUGGUAGCUUCAAGAAAUUUUUGAAGGCAGGGAUGAAAAGGGAAGUGGGAGCCAUAACUAAAGGGAGAUCAUAAGAAAAAUGGGAGAGAGAGUAAAGUCAGCAAAACUGGUGGAGUAAGCAGCUCCAAGAACAUAUCCCUCCAUAGAAAUAUUUUAAAACUGAGCAGAAACUGCCAGAAUCAAAUUUAUCACAACUCUAGAAAACUUUCAAAGGUUUACAGCAACUAAGAGAAUGAUGAAUAAAGACAAGUCCACUUAAAAAUCAUAUAAAAGGAAUUCCUGUUGUGGCCCAAUAGUUUAAGAACCCAAGUAGUAUCCAUGAGGAUGCAGGUUCAGUCCCUGGCCUCGCUCAGUAGGUUAAGGAUGCAGCAUCGCUGUGAGUUGUGGUGUAGGUUGCAGAUGCAGCUUGGAUCCCGUGUUGCUGUGGCUAUGGCAUGGGCCAGCAGCUAUAGCUCUGAUUCAACAUAUGGCCCCCACAGGUGUGGCCCUAAAAAGAAAAAAAAAAA